CUCCCGAUUACCAGCAUCUUCACGUGCUUUCUCUAAUUAGCAUGUUUCUCAGGUGCCCAGAAGGGUAAAGGCAUAUUGUUUUAAAGGAGAAACCGGGGAACAGACGGGAAGACUGCGCAAAGCAUUUCGGAUUUUAGGAACAGCCUGCGCACCACUAUUGCCAUAGAAACCUGAUGUCAUUAUGGCGACUUUGGUGACUGACGACAUUCUAAAAGAGGCCGACUUGCUCGGGUUCGAGAGCAGGGCGCCUCCUUCAGGAGUUUGGACCCAUCUGAGGGUGUGGGCAGAGUUCUCCCCAUGGCCUGAGUCUCAGCCUAGUUCCUCUAAUUAGUGCACUUUCUCAGGUGGUGGCCUGAAGAGUGAAGCCGUCCAGCUUCCAGAGAAAGGUUAGGGGAUUAAUAGGACACCCGCCCAGAGGCAUUUCUGGGGCGGGACCAACCUGCAUCGCGGUUGCCAUAGAAACCUGACGUCAUGAAUGCGACUAUGACGCUAUUCGAAAGGAGACCGACUUGCUAUCCUGAGAAGAGCAGCGUCCAGCCUACAGGUUUUGGUUCUCCGAAGAGGGCGUGGGUUUCUCCGGGUGCGGGCUGAGCCUCCCUGGGGUGUGGGGAGACGAAGAGAUCCCUGGCCCAAGUCGCCUCGUUCCCGCUCUGAGACUUGGUCCUUUGCUGACUGGAGAGGGAGAGAGACUUGGGGCCCUCCUGGCCCCAGGCAUGGUGAUGUCCUGCUCCAGGGUGGCCUGGACCUCCUUUCCAUGUAAAGGCGGGGCGCGGGAGGGUAAGACAGGGAAGCGCCCUCCACUAGGCUUCUCUGUAAAAUGGGGGCAAGAAUGCUCAGCCACGGGAUUGGCAGAACUUUCGGGGAUACCACACGUAUAAGCCCCAUUGCUCUGUGGUUAUUGUGGGAUCACGAAUGCUCACUUCAGUGCCUAGCAUGGUCCACAGAUAUAGUUAUUCCAAUAAAGCAUAGUCAUUUCUGGAUUCUUUCUCCCCCUGGGAAGCUCUUCCUCUGGUGACUGAGCUCAUAUUAAGUGUCUGAAGAAGACAUUUUCUGAAGAUGUGUGUCAUAAUGGCUGCUGAAGCUUCUAUUCCAGAUCUGAAGAGCAAGCAGUGCUCAGGAGGCCCCCCAACACUUGCAUCUCUGUUGGACACAAAUGUGGCAGUUUCUUACUGCACUUCUGAAAUAGUCCAGUAGAAUGAACAGUAAGGCAUUGGCUAAAUGACAAAGGGAGUCAUCAAAUCUGCAUCCCUAUUACUACAACAUCAGUGGAGCACAGAACCUUCUUUGACAUUUUUGUAACCACCUUAUAUUAUCAUGUAACUCUUUGGGAGCCAGACCUGGGCCAAGUGUUAAGUGGGCACCUUGAUACAUACCUCAUGGAGCUGUUGUGAGGAGAACGUGAGCAAUGAGUAUCUCUGGGGACAGUCCCUAACCCACAGUACUACACCAAAUGUAUGUAUUGGCAUACAUCAUCUUCUUUCUACAAACAACAAGACUUUACCAUGGACAGCUCCAGUAUGUCAAUUUGACACCAAGCAGCAAGAAAUUAAAUAUUUACAUAUUUAUAUGAUAGAAGAAUUAUGCUUUCUCUUUGUAUAACAAGUUACCUGAUCAUGGAGUAGAGAGCUCCACUCUUCAAGACCUCUUGGUGAUGGAGAAAGAAGAAAGCCUUUUGGGCCGGUAGAAAUGGGUUGUAGGGUCACAUGAGGUGGCUGAUACCUGAAGUAAAGACCAGGGACAGGCAGAAGCUUAGAUCUUGGGACAGAUUUGCAUCCUAUUUGGCCUCCCUUCCUACGUUCAGGUCCAGAAGUGAAGGAAGGGAAUUCUUAGCAUGGCAUCCUUAUAACCUGAGCCUUAUCAACAUCCUUCAUUCUAUCCUGAAGAUCGACUUCUGAAAGAGAAAAUGUUGGUACAUUUGGAGCCCUCUAAUAAGUACUGUCAUCCUGACAUUCAUAAAGGUGGUGCUUCUUGGACUGCCCAAGGCCACAGAGGAUUUAACAUCAGAGAAGGGUGUGGAUGCUAUACAGAACCAGGAACUCAUAGAGAGGAAGCAAGUGUGGUGUGGAGUCUACUAGACAGGCUACUGGAAAAGAGUGGACUGACCACAAGGAUACUAUAGACCUUUCCUAGUGGAAGUGUCAUCUCAGAUGAUCUUUAAACUUACACAUUCUGAAGCCAUUACAUGGAGUUAUCAGAUGUAGCAAAUAAAAAUACAGGAUGCUAAGGUGUAUUUUAUCUGGCAGGCUUGCACAAGGGGAGCUUGUAGGGUGGAACCAAGGUGCUCCUGUCAACAACCCCAGCUGACCUCCCAAGAAAUGACAUCAGCACUCAUGAUUCAUGGAAGUGAGCUCUCUCAGAUGUUCCAGAUGAGUGGAGCUCCAGAUGACAGAGAUGACAACACCAUGGGGAGAGUUAGCCUUAAAUGACAGAUACUACAUAGAGGAAAAAAAUACCUACUCAUCCUUGUCAAUACACAGACACCAGAAUGAUAAUAAAUGGGUAUUGCUUGAGAAUUUUAAGCAAAAAUGGAAAUCACUCCUGUGGUCUAAGGUGUAUUAUUUCUAUUUUUUUGUGGUUUGCUAUCAUUGCACAAUAUAGGAAUUCUAUUAUAUCUGAAAGGUCUGGCUAUAAUUUUGGCUAUAAUCUGUAGGACAUUUUGUUUGUGGGUGUCAAGUUCUGAACAUUUCCUGAAUUCCUCUGUGAAGCAAUUUCCAAAGGAAUUUUCUCUAUGUGAUUUUUCACACCUCUUCGGGAAUUUGGAACCUAAUUCAAACCCAUCUCCAUAAGAUGAGCAUCCACUGCAAUCAUUCAUGUUCAUGAAUUGAGAAGACUUUAGUACUAAGUGUACCCUGAGCCAUAUGAAAAACUUUCUUCAGCAGGUUUUGUAAUGAGUUUGUAAUAAUGACAAGGGACAUUUAUUCACCUUAAAAAGUGUUGUUCUGAAACACCGUGUCCUGCUACAGGGGUUGUCCUUGGCAAGGAAUCACUUUCAUUAGGCUCACACAGACAAGACUCCUUCAUUAGUCAGCUGGUGGGUAUGCAUUAUAGCCCUUGGCCUUUGUGACUGUCCCUAAACAGCCCUGCAGGUUGGAUAAGGCUGCGCAAUUCUGGGGAUCAUUAGUAAGAUGCUCACUGGCAAGCCAAUCUAAGUCACAUUCUUCAAUAUCAGCUUUAUAGAAAUAUGUUGAUGUGAUGUUCUUCAUCUUUGGUCACAUAGCUCAGUUGGUGUAAAGCUCACAUUUGGAGCAUCAGGCUCUUUUUGGUUCUCCUUAAAGACACUAACACAGUGAAGUAAAGUAAAAGCAACAAUAUUUAGAGUAAAAAAACAAAAAUUGGGCUGAGGUUUUAGCUCAGUGGUAGAGUAUCUAGCAUAUGCAAACUCUGCAUCUAAGCCCCAACACUGAAAGAUGAAGAGAGAAUGAAGAGAGACAAAGCAAGAGAAGAGCUGUGGGCCCAUUUUAAGACCAACCUCAGGGGGUAGAGCAGAACAAGUGUUCCUUAGAAUUUUGAGGGAAAAGGGCCUGGAUGGGAAACCCCUAUUGAUCCCCCCAUAUUAAGUCAUUCUUUUGGUUCAGGAGUGGAUAUAUAGAGAGGGAGAUGUGUUUUCUCAUGGGUAUCUUUUGAUAUUGAAGAAAAUAUCAUGGUAGUGAUUAAGAAUUCUUCAGGAUCAAUCAAUGUAUCGAUGACUUGACUAGCUUUCUACUUACUAAAUGACAAUAUUAUUCUACUUCUGCCUCUGUGAAAUAUACCAUUCCCCAAAUGACAUUUUUUGGUGUUUGUAGAUCAUAUAGAGUAGUAGUUGAGGACAGUCUCUUAGUUUUCUAUCAAUUGGCUAACUGCUUACAAUGGUAUAUUUUACAUGCUCACCUUUUGAGGGCUAGCUCAUUUCCAAGAGCCCUAGGAGAUAUUCCUGGGACUCUGUGUGUUGUACUAUACCCCUAGUGUCACCUUUAGAGCUAGGACAAUUCCUGAAAACAAGGACUUGCUUUUUUUCUUCCAAACUGGUCAGAGUUUCUGAAAUUGCCUUGGCCCCACCUAGUCCCUCUAAUUAGUGUGGUUUCUCAGGUAGUGGCUUGAAGAGUGGAGCAAUUUUGUUCUCAGUUAAAAGGAAGAAGCCAAAGAGCCAAGAAGAAACGCUUCCAAUUUGAUGGAACAGCCAGAGCUCGCAGUUGCCAUAGUAACCUCACCUCAACAAAGUGACCUUGACCACUUUUUCCUGGAGACUUCCCUCAUGAAGCAGGGCGCCUCCUUCAGGAAUUUGGACCCAUCUGAGGGUGUGGGCAGAGUUCUCCCCAUUGCCUGAGUCUCAGCCUAGUUCCUCUAAUUAGUGCACUUUCUCAGGUGGUGGCCUGAAGAAUGAAGGUGUUUUGCUUUUAUAGAAAGGCACAGGGACAAAAGGAGGCCCGUGCAGAAGCUGAGUACCAACCAGCCCAUCGCGGUUGCCAUAGAAACAUGACGUCAUUAUGGCAACUGUGAAGACAUUCUAAAGGAGACCAACUUGCUGUGGUCCCAGAGUAGGGCCCCACCAACAGGUCUUUGGACUCAGGGGAAGGUGUGGGUGCCCCGCUGUGGGGCUGAGCCUCCCUGGGAAAAGGGGGAGACAAAGGGAUCCCUGACCCAAAUUGCCUAGUUUCUGUUCUGGGACUUUUUGCCCCCCUGAUGUGAGAGGGAGAGAGACUGGGGUCCUCCUGGCCCCAGUGAUGUCCCACUGCAGGGUGUCCUGGACCUCCUUUGAAUGUAAAGGCGGGGGCAGGAGGGUAAGACAGGGAAGCGCCCUCUGUGACCCAGCUUGUCCUCUGUAAAAUGUGGGUAGGGGGGGCAGGAGGGUAAGACAGGGAAGCGCCCUCUGUGACCCAGCUUGUCCUCUGUAAAAUGUGGGUAGGAAUGCUCCCCCACGGCACUGCUGGAACCUUCUGGAAUAACACAGGUGUAAGCCCCAUUGCUCUGUGGUUAUUUGUGGGAUCCCGAAUGCUCCAUGCUUAGCAUGGUUCCAUGGAUAUAGCUAUUCCAACAAAACAGUAACUUCUGGAUUCUGGUUCCCUCUGGGCAGCUCUUCGUCUGGUCACUGAGCUCAUAUCAAGUGUCUGAAGAAGACAGUUUCUGAGGAUAUGCGUCAUUUUGGCUGCUGAAGCUUCUGCUCCAGAUCUGAAGGGCAGCAGUGCUCAGGAGACCCCCAACACUUCCAUCCCUGAUAUAAGAUCUCUUCCUCUGGUGACUGAGCUCCUAUCAAGAGUCUGAAGAAGACAGUUUCUCCGGAUGUGGGUCAUGAGGGCUGCUGAAAUGUCUUCUCCAGAUCUGAAGGGCAGCAUGCUCAGGAGACCUUCAAUACUUCCAUCCUAGUAAGAGAUAAUGCCUGACUUAAGUGAUUUCACAGCUCUGAACAAGAGUAUAUGGUCUAACUAAAAGGAACAAAGAAAGAAAAAUUAAAGAGUAUAUUGUAGAAUACCACACAUAAGGUUCACAAAAUAGCCAGAAAGUAAAGAAGCUAUUUUGAUCUUAUCCUUGAAGAGGUUUAGCAGUUAGAAUUAGCCUUCAGAAGCUGCCAUGCUUCAUAGUAGUCCUUGAGGCCAUAUUAGUGAUGAGUUUCAUUGUCACAAAGUAAUGAAUAUUUCUGUAAGGAACUUGCUGUUUAACGCACAUAUGCAAUAACUAUGUUUUCAACAAAUCUCAUGUAUCUCUCAUUAUGUGUGUGGAAAUAUGUAGUUGAUGACAAGGAAGGUCCUUCUAGAAAUUGGAAAUUGUAGAUAUAGUUUUAUCCAUUGUCUAAUGAUUAUUUUUAAGUCAAAACUGCCCCAAGAAUGAGUUUAAAAUGUCACUAAUAAGAAAUUAAUUUUUUUAAAGUAACAAUUACUUUUGUGUUUGCCAUAUUAUAGUGAUACCCAGUAACAUCUUUCAAAUGACCAGGUUCUCUUAAGUACUAUUAUGAUUAUUUUCCCAGAAUAUCACAUUUCCAGAACAUUCUCCCCUCAUCAUGCUGUGCCUGGGAAAACACUGAUGUUUUGUUAACAGAUUAGUUUUGAUUUCUUAUAUUUUAUUUAAAUGGAAUCAGAUGGCUCAUAUUUUUUGAUCGGCCUUGUUUUAUUUAGCUUACAUAUUUGUUUUAGCUUUUAAAAUUAUCUUAGCCAUGAACAGAUGAAACAGCAGAAGCAUUAUUUAUGAAUAUUUGAAAAAGUCUUUCUUGAAUACUCAGUACAUACUAUCCACUACAGGAAGAUAUGUAUUCGAGAAACAGACAUUCCCAGUUCUCUUGUGAAAUACCUAAAUAUCCAUUUUACAUACACUGAAGGAGAAAUACUUAAUUGGUUUAUCUUCAAAUUUAAGAUUAUAAUAAAUAUUUUACAAAUGAAUAAAAUACUUUGGAAUUAUUAAACUUUCCUCAAAAAAGGAUAAUAUGUGGAGAGAAUGUAUUUGUCCCCAUCCCUGAAUUUUGAUAUGUUGCAGCCCUAAUUCCCAGUGGGAUAUUAUUUGAAUGUAUUCCCUGUAAGUUUAGAUGAGGAUAUGAAGGUAGCCUUAUAAGAAUGUGGAUGUGAGAUAUCUGUCACUCAGCCACAUGAGGAUGCUGCAGGUAGGCAGUAUAUGCACACUAGCAUGAGGUCCAAGGGACAAUAACAAUAUUGAUAGUUUUCCCUGUUGUAAAGCAAGGUUUUGGGAUUUGAUGAUGAUAAAAAUCAAACCAAAGCAUUGG
Molecule: non-coding RNA, 6685 nt
Organism: Ictidomys tridecemlineatus (thirteen-lined ground squirrel)
Lineage: Eukaryota; Metazoa; Chordata; Mammalia; Rodentia; Sciuridae
Source: RefSeq, a predicted model, not a curated record